This 46-nucleotide non-coding RNA is filed under the name Schistosoma bovis. The record is from RNAcentral. Lineage: Eukaryota; Metazoa; Platyhelminthes; Trematoda; Strigeidida; Schistosomatidae. RNAcentral also lists the same sequence under 1 other name.
GCAGUGUUGAGGAGUCCCACAAUAGGACGAAACAGUUGUCCAUUAC